UACAGAUUAUGGUGCUUGUGAGAAACAUCAGUGUCUCGCUCAAGUUGAUAAGUUUGGAAGCAGAUGCCAACUUGGAUAUUUUUUCAAUCAUUUGGGAAACCUCAUAUUCCCGAAUAGGAGUAUAGGAUUGAACCCUUUUCAAGGUGAAGAGAUGAAGAACACAAAUCUUUCUCAUUUCUCUCCAAUAAUCAUUGUAUGGUGAAAAGGCCAAAUCUAGGCAGUUGUAAGAUAGCCUUUGAGGGCCAAUCAAGGAAGGCCUACUAGCAAAUUCAAGAUCAUGUGUUUUCAUGACCUCCUUUGCUAUUCUGGCGGAAGAAACCACUAUGGUGGGGAUGAAGCCGAGGCGCAAGGACAUGAGGGAUCCGUAUUGUUUAGAGAGUUGCCAUAAGUAGCGAUGACGGGCUGAGUUAUCCAUCUGGUGCAGGUUCCCAAUGAAGGGAAGCCCAGGAGGACCCGGUGGAAGGUGGAGUAGUCCUCCAUUUUUUCUGUGUUUUCGAUGAAGAAACAAGAGCAAGAGAGGAAAAGCUAGAAUGACAAAAAGCAACACUGUCAUGGUGUGAAGAUCUUCACUGCUAUGAGUUAGUGCUAUAUUGCUAUGUAAGGAAUGGGCAAAAGACGAAUCCUAUAUAAUAUAAUUCUGGACUGGGCUCUUGCCGUAUCGUACCAAUCUUAUUAAAUUUUAAUUAUUACAUAUUCCAAGAACUCAGUACGUGGAGAUAUAUUAUAUAUUGGCCUUAAUUGGAAGAGUACAUGUAACUUACCUAAUCCAUAAAAGGGAUAUAAGAUAUGAAAAUACUAAUAUAUCCUUUAAAUUUUUAUAUAUUACCACUAAUUGAUUUUAAGAUUAUAAAAUAAUGAUGAACCAAAAUAUUCAUUGACCAUUCAAAUAAACUUUUUUUAUCUUUAUUGCAUUACUAUUCAUGCAACCAUAAUAAUUCUAUUUUAACUAUUUGGAUUUCUAAUUAUUUUUUAAAACUUUUUUUUAUAAAUAAUUGAAAAAAUUAGCAUUAUUUUUUAUUUUAAAUUAUAAAUGAAGAAAAUUUAUGUUCAAAAACUAUUUUAAAAAAUACUUUCUAAAAAAAUGGUAAUAUGAUUUAUAUUUUUUAUAUUUUCUUUUUGAAAAAACAUUUAAUUAAAAAAUGAAAACUAUUUUUAAAAUUAAAAAUUAAAAACCUUAUUUAGUACUAUUUUUUAUAUGAAAAUAAUAAAAAUAAAUACAUUUCAUUAAUUAAUUAUCCAUUUUUAUUUUUCCAUUAGUUAUUUUAAUAUAAUAUAUAUAUAUAUAGCAUGUUUACAAUUAAACAAAGGAAUUUGGUCAAUUAUGUGUUUUUCGUGUGACUAUCUUUUACAUGAAAAAUAAUUAAAUAACUAAAUUAUAUAUAUUUAUUACUUUUUUUAAUUUUUUUUCUUUAUUUUUUUUUUGUCUAAUAGAAAAUUUUAAUAUAUCCAUAAUUAACAAAGUAAUAGAUCAAUUGUGCACAUUUUCAUCUAUUAAAAUAAAUUACUUUCUAAUUUAAAUAAAUAAAAUGAAAUAAGUAAAUAAAUUUGAGGUUAUUUGUAUUUUUUAACAUAUCUUAUAUUAAUAUUUUUACGGUUAAAUUAAUUUUUUUUAUUUUUUAUUUAAUUCCAAAAAUAAAAUGAAAUAAAUAAAUAAAUUUGGUAGUUUUUAACCAAUCUUAUAUUUAUAUUUCUUAUGGUUAAAUAAAUUUUUUAUUCUUUUUUCUUUAUUUCCAAAUAUAAAAGGAAAUAAAUAAAUAAAUUUGUCUUAAAUAAUAGUUUUUAAGUAAUUUCUUGUUUUAUUUUUAAUUAAAUUUUGCAUUGAAAAUAAAAUAAAAUAACGUUUUAUUUGUUUUGAUUAUUUUAAAAGUCAAACUAUUGGGAACAUAAUUUACAUACUCAUGUGAAUAUAAUUUAUGCAUAUGAAUGUGUGAAACCAAUGUUUGGUUAAUCUCAGUUUUAAUGAUAACAAAACAAGGUUUAGAACUAAUGAUUAUAUUUUUAAGUGUGAUUAGGCAAGACGAUUUUCAAAGUGGCAAUUACAAAGACAAAUUAAGCCAAUGAGAAAUCAUGAAAAAAAAGACCACCUCAAAGAGAAGUGUUUUUCAAGACCCAAGCUUCAUAAAGAUCUCUUUGUAAGGUUGUUGGUGCACUAGAAUUUUUAUGCAUUACAUUCUUUACUUAUGCACCAAAGUCAUCCAAGAGUUAUUUUGUUGUAAAUAUUUUAAAUUGGAUGAUUUCAUGUUUUCAACUAAAACCUUGUGUCAAAUGUUUUUCAAACUUGUUUAAAAGGUUUUAAGUUGAAAAAGUUGGUUGUUGAGCCAAAAACGACUCAACUGGUUGAACCAGAUGAGGAACCGGUCGACCCCCAACUUAACCGAUCUAGGAGCAGGUCGACCCCCAAUUCAAUCGGUCAAAGGUGUGAACAGUAACCGAUCGACCGCCAACUCAACUGGUCGAGGGGUGUAAAAAUCUUCUCUCUCUUCCAGAAUGGUUGUUCAACCAAAUGAGAAAUCAGUCAACCCACACCACAAUCGGUCGAGGUCCAACGGUCACCUGCUAAGCAUUAAAUGUUAACGGCUAGUCAACCGAUCGACGCUUAACUCGACUAGUCGAACCCUCAACGGCUAGUUUGACUUUUUUUUCUUCUAUGAAAAGACUCCAAAUCUUCAUUAUUUAUGAGCUCAACCUUCCCAAACCUUUUUUGAAUAUAUUUGAGCCAUGGAAAAGUGUUUUGAGUGCACCAUUAUUCUAAAACUUGCAUAUCAUUAGUGCACCUUUCAAUCCUAGUUUUCUUGUAUCAUUUGAGCUUAAAGAUUUUGUACUAGGAUUUUGUGAGAUUAAUUAUUUGUAUAUAUUUGAGAGUAAGAUUCUCAAGUGUGGGGUAUCUCUUAAGGAUUUUAAAGGGUGCUUAGAGCCAAAAGUCCAAGAUGGUAGAUUGGAACCAUAAUUCAAUUUUAUUACUUGAAUGUUUGGUUUAGAAGCCUUGAAUUAGUAGAACCUCAAGCUUAGGAUUGAAACUAGAGGAGAGUGGAUGUAGGUCGGGUUGCGUCGAACCACUAUAAAAUUUUGUAUUUGCAUUCUCUCUUCCCUACUCUUUUACUUUAUAUGCAAUUGUCUUUAUAUUGUUUUAUUAUAUACUUACAUAUAUUUGUCUCUUACAUUCACAUAGUUUAAAUUUUGCAAAAAAAAACCAUCACUCUAUUUACUCCCCCCUCUAGGGUGAUUACCAUAGGUUGAAUUAGCCUAAAUUUUCUAACAGUAUAAAAUGUAUACCAUUAUACAAGGCUAUUACACUAAUUGUACAAGGGGUGUACAAAACUGUACAUUUUGAACAACUUUUUUUUUCUUGUCAUCUAAGGAUUAUACACUCUCUUACCACAAAUUCUUUCAUUUCAUGUACUUUAUUUAACUUACAUAUGACAAUUCAAAUACUUACCCUAAUAAUGAUAUUUGAGGGAAAAUUUUGUUUUUACAUUUUAUAUCAUUUUCUAAAUUAAACCAAUGGAAACAUGAUUCAUACAUCAUAUGUGGACACAUAAUGUAUGCAUAUGGAUGAAAUUUAUAUCAUUGUACAAGGGUGUUAUAUUAACUGUGCAAGGUAAAUGUUCAAUUGGAUAAAAAAAAUGUUCUAACUAUACAAAACAAAUGUUCUAACUAUACAAGGGGUAUACAAAGCUAUCCUUUGUGAAAGAUUUCAAUCAAUUUUGGACAACUUUUUUUUUUUUUUUUUUUUGUCUUGUCAUCUAAGGAUUGCACACUUUCAAGGUACACAUUUCUCUAUCACACACUCAUCUUAUGCAUUUUAUUUAACUCACACAUGACAAUUUAAGUACUUAUCCUACUAAUGAUCUUUGAGAGAAAAUUUUGUUUUUUCAUCUUCCACUAUUUUUUGAACCAAACAAAUGAAAACGUGGUUAACCUACCUAUGGUUACACAUUGAGUAGGGGGUAUAUGGAAUUUGGGUCACUGUACAAGGUAUUUACACUAAGUGUACACGACAAAUAUACUAACUGUAGAAGGGUGUACAAGACUAUCAUUUGUGAAGAAUUUUAAGUGAUUCUGAAAAACUUAUUUGUUUAUUUCCCCUAACCAAGGAUAGAUGACAUUCCUUACAUACAUUGGUUAAGCAUACUGUGGACCCCGCAUUUCGGCUUAUGCAUUUCCCACUUGAUGGCGACCUCAAUUUUAAUUUGAAAAAUGAUUUUUAUUGAUUUAAGAAAAUAACUUGGAGUCGCCACUUAUUUUUGUUUUAUUUUUAAAAGGGUAAACAAAAUAAGAAAGAAAACCCUAAGUGCGACUCCUUAUUUUGGAAAAGGUGAUCUACGAGAAAUCGGAUCGGGCUCGGGGGUCAGGUUACUUAUCGGGAAGGUACGAUAAAAGACCAUAGCACCCUUCUAAGUCCCUAAAAUCGGGUCUCUACUAACAAAAUGAAGCUGACGUGGCAAUUUACGAGUAAAUCAGUGAAUAUCCUGAAUGAUCAUGCACACAUAAGAGUCAAGACAUGCAUAGACAACGAUUAGAGGGAAAAUGGGUACAUACCUGGGCAACAAACUGUCAUGCGCUAUCAAUAGAGAGGGUUAGUACACUAUAUAGAGCACAAAACAUACCACAUGCAUCACUAAGCAGGGAUUAAAAUUGUUCGAAGGAAAGCUGGAUUUUUUAAAUUCAUUUGAGAAUCGGAAUGUUAGAUAUUAUUUGAAAAUUGGAUUCUUAGGAAUUAAAUGUAAGAAAUGAGAACUUUUAGAAAUUAAAUUUGAAAGAAAAUUGGGAUUUUGAAGAAUUAUUUGAAAGUUCGGGAUUUUUAAGAAAAAUUAAGUUACGAAAAUUGGGAUUAUGGGAGUUAAAUUUCGAAAGGGAUCAGAAUCAUAAGUUUUUUUUUUUUGAGGCGUAGAAAUUAUGAAAGUUGAUGUGUAAAAAUUGGAAAUCUUAGAAAUCAUUCGAAGGCAGAAUUUAUAGAAAUAAUGAACAAUAUGAUAAUGAUAAUGAUAAUAAUAAGUAGCGGGGUAAAUACGGGAAUUGGAGCAUGGGAAACUGGAAAUUAAGUUCGGAGAUAGGACAAUUGGAAUUUCAGAUAGCUAAAUUUAGGAAUCAGAAUUUUGAAGAAUUAGACUCUAAUGAUUGAAAUUUUUAAGAGAAAUAAAUGGGUAAGUAUGGAGUAAUGUUACGGAUUAAUCAAAACGAUAUUUGGGCGGAUGAAUAGUGAAUAGUGGGAUUUUGAAAAUUAAAUUUUGAAAGUCGGGCCUUUGAAUAAUUAACUCUAAUUAUUGGAAUUUUUAGAAGAAAGAAGCAAGUAGACAUGGAAUUUAUAAUAAUGAUAACAAAGAUGAUAUUUAAAUGAAUAAAAGUGAAUGGUGGAAUUUUUUUUAGUCUGAAGGUUAAAUUUGGAAAUCCGGUUUUGAAGAGUUGAAUUUUAAUGAUUGAAAUAAAUAAAUGAACGAAUAUGGAAUAACGAUACUUAUUAACAAAAAUAAUGCUCAAACGAAUAAAAUAGUGGGAUUUUUCUAAUUGGAAAUUUGAAUUAGGGCGUUGGAUUUUUAAAGGAUAUGACUUUGAAUAAAUAGGUAAGUAUGAGAUUAUAAUACUAAUUAACGAAAAUAAUAUUUAGACGAAUAAAGAUGGAUAGUAGAAUUUUUGGGAUUGAAGUUUUAAUUAAGGCAUGGGGUUUUCGGAAGAUUGGACUUUGAAUAGAUGUGGAAAUAAUGAUUCUAAUUGAUGAGGAUAAAAUUUAGACGAACUGUAGAAUUUUUAGGAUUGAGAAAUUGAGUUAAGACAAGAGAUUUUUGGAGAACUAGGUUUUAAAUAAAUAGACGAAUACGAGAUAAUAAUCCUAAUUGAUGAAAAUAAGAUUUAAACGAAUUACUGAUAAACUAAAUUAAGACAGGGGAUUUUUGAAGGAUUAGAUUUUAAAUAACUAAAUAAACAUGGGAUAAUAAUUCGAUUUAUGAAAAUAUGAUUUAAACAAGUAUUUGAAGAAUUAAAUUAAAAACAUGGGAUUUUUGAAGGGGUAGGCUAGAUAAAUAAAUGAAUGUAUAAGAUAAUAAUUCCCAUUGAUGGACAUAAGAUUUAAACGAGUAUUUGAAGAAUUAAAUUACAGAAGUAGAGGAAAAAUGGACUAAGCCCAUGGUCUAAUAACCAAGGAGAUGUCACUAUGAUAGCCUUCAUCGUCUGAAUUUCAAUAUGAAAAUGAUGCAAUUAACAUUAUAUAAAAUUGAGUACCGUCAUCAAUACCAUAAAAUAUUAGGUCAUAUUAUUGGAUCCAAAUAAGAAAAUCGUAGGAUUAAGAGUACAUUAUUCUCAGAUAACUUUUACAGGAACAUACACUAGAUGUCCAUUAAUUAUAUUUCUUAGCCAUAAGGCAAAGAGCAUUCUUCUUGUGCAUUGUAAGACCAGGUAUGACAUCAAAGUCAAUGUCUUCCUUGUUCAUUCCAGCAGGCAUUUCCCAGUCAAAUGAGUAAAGAAGAUUAGCUAGUGUGAGCUCCACUGUCACAGCUCCGAUAUGUAUUGCUGGGCAAACUCUUCGGCCUGCUCCGAACGGUAUCAGCUUAUAAUUUUGUCCUCUGAAGUCCACGGAAGAACCCAAGAAUCUCUCCGGUAUGAACUCUUCUGGGUUUUCCCAGGCCUCCGGAUCUCUUCCAAUGGCCCACGCAUUCACAAAUACUAGGGUUUUGGGUGGUAUCUCAUACCCAUCUAUACUGCACUUCUGAAGUGUUUCUCUUGGAAGCAGCAAUGGAGCUGCAGGAAGCAGCCUCAUCGUCUCCUUCACUACUGCCUUGAGAUAAGGGAGCUUCUCAACAUCAUCUUCCCCUAUAAAUCCCUUCUUUCCAAAUGUAUUUCUCACUUCUUCUUGGGCUUUCUUCAUCACUCUGGGAUUCUUCAUUAAUGCUGUCAUCGCCCAAAUCACGGUGGCUGUGCCUGCAUCUGUUCCUCCUACAAAUAUAUUCUGCAAAGAAAAUUAAUAUUCAAGUUAAAAAAGAUUAAUAAUAUUCAAGUUAGUGAAAGAUUGAUUGAUUACCAUGAGCACUCCUUUAAUGUGAUCCCAAGUGAUAUCAAUGGCAAACGAGUUGUCCUUCUGCAGUUCAAUUAAGACGUCAGUGAUGUCCUCUUGUUCUUGUUUUUUUCUGUCUGGUUUCAGAUGAUCUUCGAUAAUUUCCUGGUAGAACAAAUCCAUAUCCCUGAGAGUUUUCUCGAGCCGAGCAGUCAGGCCGGUGAGUUUAUCGAGCCAACCCAUCAAAGGAAAAUGAUCCGAGAAAAAGAAGCUUCCCAACAUAGCCUGAGCAUCAUUUAGAAGUCCAUGAAAUCUACUUGUUUCACAUCCUUCAUCCUCGUACCUCUUGCCGAAAGAAACCCUACAGAUUAUGGUGAUUGUGAGAAACAUCACUGUCUCGCUCAAGUUGAUAAGUUUGGAAGCAGAUGCCAACUUGGAGAUUUUUUCAAUCAUUUGCGAAACCUCAUAUUCCCGAAUAGGAGUAUAGGAUUGAACCCUUUUCAAGGUGAAGAGAUGAAGAACACAAAUCUUUCUCAUUUCUCUCCAAUAAUCGUUGUAUGGUGAAAAGGCCAAAUCUAGGCAGUUGUAAGAUAGCCUUCGAGGGCCAAUCAAGGAAGGCCUACUAGCAAAUUUAAGAUCAUGUGUUUU
RNAcentral lists this long non-coding RNA (7633 nucleotides) under Vitis vinifera (wine grape). RNAcentral describes it as "long non-coding RNA (VVIN_LNC006081)". Lineage: Eukaryota; Viridiplantae; Streptophyta; Magnoliopsida; Vitales; Vitaceae. The record is from RNAcentral.